RNAcentral lists this ribosomal RNA (257 nucleotides) under uncultured bacterium. RNAcentral's name for it is "partial 16S ribosomal RNA". It matches the Rfam family "Bacterial small subunit ribosomal RNA", at positions 613 to 868 of the family's 1533-position model. The record is from RNAcentral.
CUGAGGGCCUACCUGAGAAACUGGAUGACUUGAGGGCAGGAGAGGGGAGUGGAAUUCCCAGUGUAGCGGUGAAAUGCGUAGAUAUUGGGAGGAACACCAGUGGCGAAGGCGGCUCUCUGGCCUGUUUCUGACGCUGAGGCGCGAAAGCGUGGGGAGCGAACGGGAUUAGAUACCCCGGUAGUCCACGCCGUAAACGAUGGGUGCUAGGUGUAGGAGGUAUCGACCCCUUCUGUGCCGUAGCUAACGCAAUAAGCACC